This is a long non-coding RNA of Papaver somniferum (opium poppy), 1198 nucleotides long. RefSeq lists it as uncharacterized. The transcript has 2 exons. The record is from RefSeq and is a predicted model, not a curated record. Lineage: Eukaryota; Viridiplantae; Streptophyta; Magnoliopsida; Ranunculales; Papaveraceae.
GGUGCUUCAAUAAUAGAGUUGAAUCAUUUACAUUUUUUUAAGGGAACAAAAUUCAAUAUAACCAUCAAGUACUGGAAUUUAUUCACUCUCAUUAAGAAGGGGUGACAAUUGGAGACCCUGUUUGCAAGUGCAAUACACCAAAUACCUACACCUGACGAGAUGAAAUUGCAUUGCUCAACUGUAAAAUGAGUUGCUGGUUAUAUAAGAAAAGAUUGGGUAUAUUACAAAUAUACAGCUUCAUGACUGAAAGGAAGAAAUGGAUCAAAAGAAGAAAAAAAAAUUCCUCAAGCAAACGGCAGCACUCAAGAAUCAACAAAAGAUAAAGAAAAAUCAUACUUUUCAGCUUAAGUACAGUUUUCAAGGGAGCUGCAAAAUUUAUAAGAGAUCACAAGUGUAUACGACUAUUUAUGUAAAAGAGGUUCUAUAUUAGAGAGUGAUUCUCUGCUUCUCUAAAUGGUAAGGAAAUUCUUCAAUCUUUCAAUAACAUGUCAAUCAAUUACUGAUCCUCUUCUUAUACCUAUCCCCUAGAGUCCCCUUUCUAGGAUGACAAUAAAUAAAUACCAACGGUACCUAAUCAACCAGAGCUAACUUUUCAAUGUAAGAAAACAUGUUCAUUAGUAGUGUAAAAUCAGCAUCGUUUCUAUCCUAAUUGUUUAACCACCAUGGGUUAUGCUUACCUACUCUAAAAAGCCGACACAAUGAAAUAUAAAUGUUGCACUGCACUGAAGGAUCAGAGUUAAUAUAUGUAAAGUUUUCCUGAAGAGUCAUCUGACAGAAGUUCCUGAUUGGAAAAAAAAAGAGGUAAGCCUGCUACAGAGAAUCAAGCUUCACAAGUUCAACAUUUAAAGGUUCUAAAUCUCCCUCCAAACCCUGUCUUUCUCAUCAGUAAAUUUUAUGAUGGAACUGCAGCUGAAACAAAAUCAGGGACUCAAAUCCACAAAUAAACCAGUUCUGGAAACAAGUACAUUUAUCCAUUGGUAGUUAUGUCGGCUGCAGUAACUUUGCACUAUAUGGUUUGUUUCCGUUCACUAUUUCCUUCAUCAGAAGGAAUAACAUAAUUCAACGACUCCAAAUCUUAUGCAGCAUCAUGGCUUGAUUCAUAUAAGAUGUAACUAUAAUAAUCUAUGUUUGAUUCCUGUAUUUAAAGAACAGUUCUUAAUGUAAUAACCUAAUCAGUAAGUUAAGUUUUAUCAAUUUA